Molecule: ribosomal RNA, 253 nt
Filed under: uncultured bacterium
Lineage: Bacteria
Description: partial 16S ribosomal RNA
Rfam family: Bacterial small subunit ribosomal RNA
Source: RNAcentral
UACGUAGGCAGCGAGCGUUGUUCGGAAUUAUUGGGCGUAAAGAGCUUGUAGGCGGUCUGUCGCGUCUGCUGUGAAAAUCCGGGGCUCAACCCCGGACUUGCAGUGGGUACGGGCAGACUAGAGUGUGGUAGGGGAGACUGGAAUUCCUGGUGUAGCGGUGAAAUGCGCAGAUAUCAGGAGGAACACCGAUGGCGAAGGCAGGUCUCUGGGCCACUACUGACGCUGAGAAGCGAAAGCGUGGGGAGCAAACAGG